AUCUAAAUCAAUAUCAGAUUUUAAGACUUCCAGCUGGCAGCCCGAGGUUCAUGGCUUCAAUCAUGCCAUGUGGUGUGCCUCUGGUAGGUAUUGUAGGGGCCAUGUCUGACAAAAAUGGGUCGUUGAAAUGUACCGACUGAUAUCUCCCAAACCUAACUAUCUAUUUGCUUAGGAGUUUAUUAGUGAGUUCAGGGAAUUUCCAACCCUCUCAAACUCAAUGAAAUAGUAAAAUAUAUCAUUAUAUUUUUUCAUUAGAAAUAGCCUGCCAUAAAAAAUAAUCGGCAAGUGACUACAUGACAUACUUACUAGCGACUCCUGUGAGCCAAGCUUUUGCUACUGGUAGGACUAAGUUAUGGAUUUAGUUGGAUCAUGUUACAAAUUUGGACAGACAAGGAUAGUGACUGGUGAGGUGAAGUUACUACUAAUUUUGAUGGGGCCAGGCUACUAUUUCUAGUAGAGCAAGAUUACUGAUUUUAGUGGUAAAAAGUUUCUAGUGUCAGUGAGGCUUAGCCAAUUUCAGGAGCUAUGUUUCUAAUUCAUUAUGUGAGGUUCCUGAUUUCAUGGGGCUGGGUUACUAUUUUGGUGAGCUAGGUUUCUAAUUCAUGAUGUGAGGUUCCUGAUUUCAUGGGGCUGGGUUACUAUUUUGGUGAGCUAGGUUUCUAAUUCAUGAUGUGAGGUUACUGAUUUCGUGGGGCUGGGCUAUUAAUUUGGCGAGUUAGGUUUCUUAUUUUAGUGGGGUCUGUGUUACUUGUUAGUAGGGAAAAAAAGGCCUAACCUGUGUGCCCUAUCCUUUUUCAUCACAUAUUGUCAGAACAACUGAACACAUUGUGUUAAACAUAAUUUUCCACAGAAGAGGGAAUGCCUGAUGAAAAGAAUCGACUAGUGCAAAGGGGUGUGGGUGGAGAGUUUUUCUGUAGCCAAGUCUUCCCCCCUCUGACCUUGUCCUCCUUCCCCUCACCUCCACCUCUCCCCAGCUGCUGCCAUGCCAGCCAUGUUGUGUUCCAAGCAUGUUUUGUGUAGAGAAAUUGUACUAAGGAAUUAGGCAAACAGCUUCCCAAUAGCAUUUCUCCCAUUGAUGUUCACUUUCUAGAGUGGAAUAGGAAGAUUGCUGGAACCCAAUUUGAUAACUUUUAGGAUCUUAUAUCUAUGAUUAUUUUUAGGAGCGGCUUGUUGAAUUUUUUUGUAUGAUCAUUUUUAGUAGCUGCUUGUUGAAUUUUUUUCCUGUCUACCCUUAGAUUAAAAAAAAAAAAAAAAAAAAAAA
This is a long non-coding RNA of Eriocheir sinensis (Chinese mitten crab), 1261 nucleotides long. RefSeq lists it as uncharacterized. The transcript is spliced from 2 exons. NCBI's taxonomy places the organism in Eukaryota, Metazoa, Arthropoda, Malacostraca, Decapoda, Varunidae. The record is from RefSeq and is a predicted model, not a curated record.